AAGUCGUAACAAGGUUUCCGUAGGUGAACCUGCGGAAGGAUCAUUAUCGUACAACAGGAGGUGCCGAGGUUGUCGCUGACCCCUAGGUCGUGCACGCCUUGAGCACGUUCUUACUCCACCUCACCCCUUGUGCAUCCCCGCGUGGGCUCUCUCUUAUCGAGAAGAGCCGGCGUCUUUAACACGAACACAAAGCAGUGUAGAAUGUUCUUUUUGCAUUUGUAUGCAGUUAAUACAACUUUCAACAACGGAUCUCUUGGCUCUCGCAUCGAUGAAGGACGCAGCGAAAUGCGAUACGUAAUGUGAAUUGCAGAAUUCAGUGAAUCAUCGAAUCUUUGAACGCACCUUGCGCCCCUUGGUAUUCCGAAGGGCACACCCGUUUGAGUGUCGUGAAGUUCUCAACCUUCUUCAUUCUUGAGGAAUGGCUUGGACUUUGGAGGCUUUUUUUUUUUGCUGGACUCUCUUGAUCGAGUAUCGGCUCCUCUUAAAUGGAUUAGUAGGAUCCUUCUUUGCUGGUCCUCGACGUGAUAAGUCUUUUCUACGUCUGGAGCUUAGCUUAUGAGGCCUGCUUCUAAUCGUCUCUUCAGACAAAUCGGUUCAGAGAAUUCCCUUUCUGACCGGUGAAACCCCUUUGACCUCAAAUCGGGUGAGACUACCCGCUGAACUUAA
Molecule: ribosomal RNA, 666 nt
Filed under: uncultured fungus
Lineage: Eukaryota; Fungi
Description: eukaryotic LSU rRNA
Rfam family: 5.8S ribosomal RNA (bases 234-387)
Source: RNAcentral